This 253-nucleotide ribosomal RNA is filed under the name uncultured bacterium. RNAcentral describes it as "partial 16S ribosomal RNA". It matches the Rfam family "Bacterial small subunit ribosomal RNA", at positions 524 to 776 of the family's 1533-position model. The record is from RNAcentral.
UACGUAGGGUGCAAGCGUUAAUCGGAAUUACUGGGCGUAAAGCGUGCGCAGGCGGUUCCGCAAGUCAGAUGUGAAAUCCCCGGGCUCAACCUGGGAACUGCAUUUGAAACUACGGAGCUAGAGUGUGUCAGAGGGGGGUAGAAUUCCACGUGUAGCAGUGAAAUGCGUAGAGAUGUGGAGGAAUACCGAUGGCGAAGGCAGCCCCCUGGGACAAUACUGACGCUCAUGCACGAAAGCGUGGGGAGCAAACAGG